This 206-nucleotide microRNA precursor is filed under the name Oryza meridionalis. RNAcentral's name for it is "MIR812 microRNA precursor family". It matches the Rfam family "MIR812 microRNA precursor family". Lineage: Eukaryota; Viridiplantae; Streptophyta; Magnoliopsida; Poales; Poaceae. The record is from Rfam by way of RNAcentral.
AAAAAGAUAAACCAUGGAUUUCCGUGUCCAACGUUUGACUGUCCGUCUUAUAUGAAAUUUUUGUAUAAUUAGUAUUUUCAUUGUUGUUAGAUGAUAAAACAUGAUUAAUACUUUAUACGUGACUUGUCUUUUUAAUUUUUUUAAUAUUUUUUCAAAUAAGAUGGAUGGUCAAACAUUGGACAUGGAAACCCAGAGUUUAUCUUUUU